RNAcentral lists this ribosomal RNA (643 nucleotides) under Cricotopus sp. 1 PAOL-2017. Its description in RNAcentral is "partial 16S ribosomal RNA". It matches the Rfam family "Archaeal large subunit ribosomal RNA", at positions 1936 to 2696 of the family's 2987-position model. Lineage: Eukaryota; Metazoa; Arthropoda; Insecta; Diptera; Chironomidae. The record is from RNAcentral.
AACUGUUAGCGUAUACCUGCCCACUGAUUUAUUUAAUUAAAGGGCCGCGGUAUUUUGACCGUGCAAAGGUAGCAUAAUCAUUAGUUUUUUAAUUGAAGACUUGUAUGAAUGGUUGAAUGAGAUAUAUGUUGUGUCGUAAAAUUUUUAUUUAAACUUUAUAUUUUAGUUAAAAAGCUAAAAUAAUUUUUAAAGACGAGAAGACCCUAUAAAUCUUUAUAUUUAAAUUAAUUUAAUUAAUAAAGAAUUUUAUAAAUAAUUUAAAUUAAAUUUUUUGGAAUAUUUUAUUGGGGUGAUAUUAAAAUUUAAUUAACUUUUAAUUUUUUGUUCAUUAUUAAAUGUAAAAAAUUGAUCCAACAUUUUUGAUUAAAAAUUUAAGUUACUUUAGGGAUAACAGCGUAAUUUUUUUGGAGAGUUCAAAUCGAUAAAAAAGAUUGCGACCUCGAUGUUGGACUAAGAAUUAAUUUAGGUGUAGAAGUUUAAAUUUUGAGUCUGUUCGACUUUUAUUUCUUACGUGAUCUGAUCCAAACCCGGGAAGACCCCCCCCCCGCCCAACCCCCCCCCACCUCUGCCGCACCGCCCCCCCGCCCACCCCAACCCCCCCCCCCCCCCCCCAACCCCCCCCCCCCCCCCCGCCCCGCCCACC